CCCUUAGAUGACCUGGGCUGCACGCGUGCUACAAUGGUACUAACAUCAAGUUCCUAAUACGAAAGUAUUAGGUAAUCAUCAAAUUGUACCUUACUUGGGAUAGACUAUUGUAAUUAUUUGUCUUGAACCAGGAAUUCCUAGUAAGCACAAGUCACAACCUUGUGCUGAUUACGUCCCUGCCCUUUGUACACACCGCCCGUCGCUUCUCCCGAUGAGUGUUCCGGUCAAUAUUUACACUUAACAAUGUUUUUGUGAACCUUAACACUUAGAGGAAGAAAAAGUCGUAACA
RNAcentral lists this ribosomal RNA (289 nucleotides) under uncultured eukaryote. Its description in RNAcentral is "partial 18S ribosomal RNA". It matches the Rfam family "Eukaryotic small subunit ribosomal RNA", at positions 1470 to 1796 of the family's 1831-position model. The record is from RNAcentral.